This 464-nucleotide ribosomal RNA is filed under the name Vreelandella stevensii. Its description in RNAcentral is "partial 16S ribosomal RNA". It matches the Rfam family "Bacterial small subunit ribosomal RNA", at positions 338 to 795 of the family's 1533-position model. Lineage: Bacteria; Pseudomonadati; Pseudomonadota; Gammaproteobacteria; Oceanospirillales; Halomonadaceae. The record is from RNAcentral.
CCUACGGUGGCAGCAGUGGGGAAUAUUAGACAAUGGGCGAAAGCCUGAUCCAGCCAUGCCGCGUGUGUGAAGAAGGCCUUCGGGUUGUAAAGCACUUUCAGUGGGGAAGAAAGCCUUGGGGCUAAUACCCUCGAGGAAGGACAUCACCCACAGAAGAAGCACCGGCUAACUCCGUGCCAGCAGCCGCGGUAAUACGGAGGGUGCGAGCGUUAAUCGGAAUUACUGGGCGUAAAGCGCGCGUAGGCGGUCUGAUAAGCCGGUUGUGAAAGCCCCGGGCUCAACCUGGGAACGGCAUCCGGAACUGUCAGGCUAGAGUGCAGGAGAGGAAGGUAGAAUUCCCGGUGUAGCGGUGAAAUGCGUAGAGAUCGGGAGGAAUACCAGUGGCGAAGGCGGCCUUCUGGACUGACACUGACGCUGAGGUGCGAAAGCGUGGGUAGCAAACAGGAUUAGAUACCCUAGUAGUC